UAUCAGAGUGAGAUUAAGCCAUGCGAGUCAACGUAGCAAUACGUGGCACACGGCUCAGUAACACGUAGUCAACAUAACCAAAGGACGUGGAUAAACUCGGGAAGCUGAGGCUAAACCGCGAUAGAUCAAGAUAUCUGGAAUGGUUUUUGAUCAAAAUCUAUAUGGCCUUUGGAUUGGACUGCGUCCGAUCAGGCUGUUGGUGAGGUAAUGGCCCACCAAACCUGUAACCGGUACGGGCUCUGAGAGGAGGAGCCCGGAGAUGGGUACUGAGAAAAGGACCCAGGCCCUAUGGGGCGCAGCAGGCGCGAAACCUCUGCAAUAGGCGAAAGCCUGACAGGGUUACUCUGAGUGACUUUCGCUAAGAAAGUCUUUUGACACCUCUAAAAAUGGUGUAGAAUAAGGGGUGGGCAA
Molecule: ribosomal RNA, 411 nt
Filed under: uncultured archaeon CRE-PA6a
Lineage: Archaea
Description: bacterial SSU rRNA
Rfam family: Archaeal small subunit ribosomal RNA
Source: RNAcentral